GACUAAACAUAUCCAAGUAAGAGACAGUUUAUUGCUAUCUAGCUAUGUAUAUAUAUAACCAUGCAUAGUAGUGAAGCACUCAGUUGGCUGAUGGAGGUUUGUAGGGUGACUUCAACUUCCGUGGUGGCUUCUCUCCUUUGCCUUUAGGAGGAUCUUGGGGUGGUUUGCGUUCUGGGAAUGGUUUUCCUCCUUUACCGUUAUCAGCCUCCAUCAAAAUGUGCCCAGGGAGAGGAUCAUGUGGAGGCUUAUGCUCUGGGGGUGGUCUCUCACCAUGUUCCUUUGGAGGUUGCUGUGGCUCUUCAUGUUCAUGGGGUGGUUUAUGUUCCGGCAGUGGCUUCUCUCCUUUGCCUUUAGGAGGCUCUUGGGGUGGUUUGCGUUCUGGGAAUGGUUUUCCUCCUCUACCCUCAUCAUCCUCCAUCAAAAUGUGUCCAGGGCGAGGAUCAUGAGGAGGCUUAUACUCUUUGGGGGGUUUCUCACCAUGUUCCUUUGGAGGUUGCUGUGGCUCUUCAUGUUCAUGGGGUGGUUUAUGUUCCGGCAGUGGCUUCUCUCCUUUACCCUUAGGAGGCUCCUGGGGUGGUUUAUGCUCUGGAAAUGGCUUUCCUCCUUUACCUUCAUCAUCCUCCAUCAAAAUGUGUCCAGGGUGAGGAUCAUGAGGAGGCUUAUCCUCUUUGGGUGGUUUCUCACCAUGUUCCUUUGGAGGUUGUUGUGGUCCUUCAUGUUCUGGAGGUGGUUUCUCUCCCUUACCCUUAGGAGGCUCUUGGGGUGGUUCGUGUUCUAGAGGUGGCUUCUCUCCCUUACCUUUAGGAAGCUCUUGGGGUGGUUUCUCACCAUGUUCCUUUGGAGGUUGUUGUGGUCCUUCAUGUUCAUGGGGUGGUUCAUGUUCUGGAGGUGGCUUCUCUCCCUUACCCUUAGGAGGCUCUUGGGGUGGCUUCUCUCCCUGACCUUUAGGAGGCUCUUGCUGCGGUUUAUGCUCUGGGAAUGGUUUCCCUCCUCUACCCUCAUCAUCCUCUAUCAAAAUGUGUCCAGGAUGAGGAUCAUGUGGAGGUUUCUGCUCCGGUGGUGGCUUUUCACCCUUUCCUCUAGGUGGCUCUUGUGGCUCCUCAUGUUCAGGAGGUGGUUUAUCGCCUUUACCCCUAGGAGGCUCAUGAGGUGGUUCUUGUUCUGGAGGUGGCUUCUUGGGAGGCCCGUGUGGGCCCUCAUGGGAUGGUUCAGGUUCAUGCCUAGGCCUGGGAUCGCCACCAGCCUGAAACUGAUCAGCAAGUGAGGGUGUUGUGGUGCUGAUGACCACAACUCCCAGGAAAAACAAGACUAGCAAGUAUUUAGGAUACAUGUUGGC
Molecule: long non-coding RNA, 1336 nt
Filed under: Jatropha curcas
Lineage: Eukaryota; Viridiplantae; Streptophyta; Magnoliopsida; Malpighiales; Euphorbiaceae
Description: long non-coding RNA (JCUR_LNC001011)
Source: RNAcentral